This 466-nucleotide ribosomal RNA is filed under the name uncultured bacterium. Its description in RNAcentral is "partial 16S ribosomal RNA". It matches the Rfam family "Bacterial small subunit ribosomal RNA", at positions 28 to 507 of the family's 1533-position model. The record is from RNAcentral.
GAUGAACGCUGGCGGCGUGCUUAACACAUGCAAGUCGAACGAUGAAGCCCAGCUUGCUUGGUGUUUUAGUGGCGAACUGGUGGGUAACACGUGAGUAACCUGCCCUUAACUCUGGGAUAGGCCUGGGAGACUGGGUCUAAUACCUGAUAGGAGCGUCCACCGCAUGGUGGGUGUUGGAAAGAUUUAUCCGUUUUGGCUUGACUCGCGGCCUAUCAGCUUGUUGGUGGUGUAAUGGCUCACCAAGGCCACGGCGGGUAUCCGGCCUGAGAGGGUGACCGGCCACCAUGGGACUGCGACACGGCGCAGACUGCAACGGGAGGCAGCAGUGGCGAAUCUUGCACAAUGGGCGCAAGUCUGAUGCAGAGACGCCGCGUGAGGGAUGCCCGCCUUCGGGUUGUAAACCUCUUUCAGUAGGGACGAAGCGAAAGUGACGGUACCUGCAGAAGAAGCACCGGCUAACUACGUG